GGAGCACCUUCGGGUGUGACUGCGUACCUUUUGUAUAAUGGGUCAGCGACUUAUAUUCUGUAGCAAGGUUAACCGUAUAGGGGAGCCGCAGGGAAACCGAGUCUUAACUGGGCGUUAAGUUGCAGGGUAUAGACCCGAAACCCGGUGAUCUAGCCAUGGGCAGGUUGAAGGUUGGGUAACACUAACUGGAGGACCGAACCGACUAAUGUUGAAAAAUUAGCGGAUGACUUGUGGCUGGGGGUGAAAGGCCAAUCAAACCGGGAGAUAGCUGGUUCUCCCCGAAAGCUAUUUAGGUAGCGCCUCGUGAACUCAUCUUCGGGGGUAGAGCACUGUUUCGGCUAGGGGGUCAUCCCGACUUACCAACCCGAUGCAAACUACGAAUACCGAAGAAUGUUAUCACGGGAGACACACGGCGGGUGCUAACGUCCGUCGUGAAGAGGGAAACAACCCAGACCGCCAGCUAAGGUCCCAAAGUCAUGGUUAAGUGGGAAACGAUGUGGGAAGGCACAGACAGCCAGGAUGUUGGCUUAGAAGCAGCCAUCAUUUAAAGAAAGCGUAAUAGCUCACUGGUCGAGUCGGCCUGCGCGGAAGAUGUAACGGGGCUAAACCAUGCACCGAAGCUGCGGCAGCGACACUAUGUGUUGUUGGGUAGGGGAGCGUUCUGUAAGCCUGCGAAGGUGUGCUGUGAGGCAUGCUGGAGGUAUCAGAAGUGCGAAUGCUGACAUAAGUAACGAUAAAGCGGGUGAAAAGCCCGCUCGCCGGAAGACCAAGGGUUCCUGUCCAACGUUAAUCGGGGCAGGGUGAGUCGACCCCUAAGGCGAGGCCGAAAGGCGUAGUCGAUGGGAAACAGGUUAAUAUUCCUGUACUUGGUGUUACUGCGAAGGGGGGACGGAGAAGGCUAUGUUAGCCGGGCGACGGUUGUCCCGGUUUAAGCAUGUAGGCUGGUUAUCCAGGCAAAUCCGGAUAAUCAAGGCUGAGGUGUGAUGACGAGGCACUACGGUGCUGAAGUAACAAAUGCCCUGCUUCCAGGAAAAGCCUCUAAGCAUCAGGUAACAUUAAAUCGUACCCCAAACCGACACAGGUGGUCAGGUAGAGAAUACCAAGGCGCUUGAGAGAACUCGGGUGAAGGAACUAGGCAAAAUGGUGCCGUAACUUCGGGAGAAGGCACGCUGGUGUGUAGGUGAAGUCCCUGCGGAUGGAGCUGAGACCAGUCGAAGAUACCAGCUGGCUGCAACUGUUUAUUAAAAACACAGCACUGUGCAAACACGAAAGUGGACGUAUACGGUGUGACGCCUGCCCGGUGCCGGAAGGUUAAUUGAUGGGGUUAUCCGUAAGGAGAAGCUCUUGAUCGAAGCCCCGGUAAACGGCGGCCGUAACUAUAACGGUCCUAAGGUAGCGAAAUUCCUUGUCGGGUAAGUUCCGACCUGCACGAAUGGCGUAAUGAUGGCCAGGCUGUCUCCACCCGAGACUCAGUGAAAUUGAACUCGCUGUGAAGAUGCAGUGUACCCGCGGCAAGACGGAAAGACCCCGUGAACCUUUACUAUAGCUUGACACUGAACAUUGAGCCUUGAUGUGUAGGAUAGGUGGGAGGCUUUGAAGCGUGGACGCCAGUCUGCGUGGAGCCAACCUUGAAAUACCACCCUUUAAUGUUUGAUGUUCUAACGUUGGCCCCUGACCGGGGUUGCGGACAGUGUCUGGUGGGUAGUUUGACUGGGGCGGUCUCCUCCCAAAGCGUAACGGAGGAGCACGAAGGUUAGCUAAUCCUGGUCGGACAUCAGGAGGUUAGUGCAAUGGCAUAAGCUAGCUUGACUGCGAGCGUGACGGCGCGAGCAGGUGCGAAAGCAGGUCAUAGUGAUCCGGUGGUUCUGAAUGGAAGGGCCAUCGCUCAACGGAUAAAAGGUACUCCGGGGAUAACAGGCUGAUACCGCCCAAGAGUUCAUAUCGACGGCGGUGUUUGGCACCUCGAUGUCGGCUCAUCACAUCCUGGGGCUGAAGUAGGUCCCAAGGGUAUGGCUGUUCGCCAUUUAAAGUGGUACGCGAGCUGGGUUUAGAACGUCGUGAGACAGUUCGGUCCCUAUCUGCCGUGGGCGCUGGAGAAUUGAGGGGGGCUGCUCCUAGUACGAGAGGACCGGAGUGGACGCAUCACUGGUGUUCGGGUUGUCAUGCCAAUGGCACUGCCCGGUAGCUAAAUGCGGAAGAGAUAAGUGCUGAAAGCAUCUAAGCACGAAACUUGCCCCGAGAUGAGUUCUCCCUGAGACUUUAAGUCUCCUGAAGGAACGUUGAAGACGACGACGUUGAUAGGCCGGGUGUGUAAGCGCAGCGAUGCGUUGAGCUAACCGGUACUAAUGAACCGUGAGGCUUAACCUU
RNAcentral lists this ribosomal RNA (2367 nucleotides) under Klebsiella pneumoniae. RNAcentral's name for it is "bacterial LSU rRNA". It matches the Rfam family "Bacterial large subunit ribosomal RNA", at positions 576 to 2925 of the family's 2925-position model. The record is from RNAcentral. Lineage: Bacteria; Pseudomonadati; Pseudomonadota; Gammaproteobacteria; Enterobacterales; Enterobacteriaceae.